This 532-nucleotide long non-coding RNA is filed under the name Rattus norvegicus (Norway rat). Its description in RNAcentral is "long non-coding RNA NONRATT016382". The record is from RNAcentral. Lineage: Eukaryota; Metazoa; Chordata; Mammalia; Rodentia; Muridae.
AUCCUGGGUUAAACAAGUGCUGCCGGAGGCUGCUGUUCUCCGGCGCACGGGGCAUCAACACCAGCUCCUGCCACCCGGAGCGUCCCGCUCGUACCUAGUUAGAAUCAGGCCUGUGGGGAAGAGCCGGGGUCGAUACUGUUCACAACCGCCUGCAACGCCAACCCCCGGGGUCCCACGCCCGGGUCCCCACGGGCGUGCGCGCUCGUGCACAAACAUCCUUACACACACGCAGACGCGCGAAAUGGAAAGGGGUGACUCUAAAACACUCCACGGCGCCGGGCAUCCUUAGAUGGCAGCACUGCGCGGCGUGUGGGUUUCCAUUGUGGCAUUCAUAACUGCUACAAAAAUGCCGCCAUGUCACCGACAUGAGGAAGAGAAAUUCUUCCUCAAUGCCAGAGGCCAGAAGGAAGCUCUACCCAGCAUCUGGGACUCGCCCACAAAACAGCUGUCCGUUGUUGUGCCUUCCUACAAUGAAGAAAAACGGUUGCCUGUGAUGAUGGAUGAAGCCCUGAACUACCUAGAAAAGAGACAG